RNAcentral lists this ribosomal RNA (492 nucleotides) under uncultured bacterium. RNAcentral describes it as "partial 16S ribosomal RNA". It matches the Rfam family "Bacterial small subunit ribosomal RNA", at positions 29 to 507 of the family's 1533-position model. The record is from RNAcentral.
AGUGAACGCUGGCGGUAGGCCUAACACAUGCAAGUCGAACGGCAGCACAGUAAGAGCUUGCUCUUACGGGUGGCGAGUGGCGGACGGGUGAGGAAUACAUCGGAAUCUACUUUUUCGUGGGGGAUAACGUAGGGAAACUUUCGCUAAUACCGCAUACGACCUACGGGUGAAAGCAGGGGAUCUUCGGACCUUGCGCGAUUGAAUGAGCCGAUGUCGGAUUAGCUAGUUGGCGGGGUAAAGGCCCACCAAGGCGACGAUCCGUAGCUGGUCUGAGAGGAUGAUCAGCCACGCUGGAACUGAGACACGGUCCAGACUCCUACGGGAGGCAGCAGUGGGGAAUAUUGGACAAUGGGCGCAAGCCUGAUCCAGCCAUACCGCGUGGGUGAAGAAGGCCCUCGGGUUGUAAAGCCCUUUUGUUGGGAAAGAAAAGCAGCAGGUUAAUACCCCGCUGUUCUGACGGUACCCAAAGAAUAAGCACCGGCUAACUUCGUG